Long non-coding RNA from Lemur catta (Ring-tailed lemur), 587 nucleotides. RefSeq lists it as uncharacterized. The transcript is spliced from 4 exons. The record is from RefSeq and is a predicted model, not a curated record. Lineage: Eukaryota; Metazoa; Chordata; Mammalia; Primates; Lemuridae.
GUCCGCCCGGGGGCGGGUUCUGCGGGCCCCGCGCGGGCUAGUGGGGCGCGGGUGAGCCCCGGGGUUCUGUGACAAUGUGGGAGAGUCUUUUCGGGAUCCAGGCGAACCCCCACAGAUAGGCGUUUUUAAACUUCCCGUUACUGGCAGUGACGCCAGGAGCUUUACGGGAUGGAAGUGUGCGAGUCAAUCAGUGCGAAUGGGGUUGCUCUGAGGAAGCGCUGAGCCCCCUUGGAAGCCUCCAUCAGUGUUGGAAGAGUGAUAUUCGUAUCGUCAAGAUAGGAACAAAGGAACAGUGAAUGAAAUAACUUGGCUAGAAUAUGGUAGUAACUUCAAGGCACGGGAGUGACAUAUAAAGGUUUUCUGCUCUGGAUGAUCUCUGAAGUGUCUUCAAGUAAGACAAAUUUUAUUUUGAAACAGACACACCCCAGGAAGAAAGUGAUUCUAGCUGAGUCAUUUGCUUGACUUCCCAAGGAUAAAAUCCCUGAAACUGCACGGGUUCCUAUUUUCCACAAGGACUCAUUGUUCAUCUUUUAUUUGGAUGCUGGCUGCUCUCCAGAACCUCAAAUAAAUUCUUUCAUAUUACUUAA